AAAACGGUCCUUUUCAGGACCACCAAUUAUUUCCAAAAAGCAUUU
Anopheles sinensis is the source of this 45-nucleotide regulatory RNA element. It matches the Rfam family "Histone 3' UTR stem-loop". From Rfam's summary of the family: The mRNAs of metazoan histone genes lack a poly-A tail. The record is from Rfam. Lineage: Eukaryota; Metazoa; Arthropoda; Insecta; Diptera; Culicidae.